AUGGGAUUCAAGGACUUCAGACUCUUCAACCAAGCAAUGUUAGCUCGGCAAGCAUGGCGUAUUUUGGUCAACCCGGAAUGUCUUUGUACGCGCGUCUUGAAGGCAAGGUAUUUCCCUAAUGGACGAUUAGAAGAUACUGUUUUCACUAGCAACGCGUCGCAAACUUGGCAGGCCAUUGUGCAUGGGUUGGAAUUGCUGAAGAAAGGCUUAGUCUGGCGCAUCGGUAACGGGCAGUCGGUCCGAAUUUGGCGGGACUCCUGGAUACCACACCCUAUUGGUCGGCCACCAAUUACCCAACAGGGAAGGUGCUGUCUCCGCCGAGUCUCAAAGCUACUAGACGAGCAUGGUGCAUGGCGCGGAACCCUACUUCAACAGUACUUUUUGCCCGUUGAUGUUCAGGAGAUACUAAAGAUUAAAGCGUCCCCUCGGCUGGGGGCAGAUUUCCUUGCAUGGGGUGUAGAACGUACUGGUAUCUUCACCGUACGUAGCGCGUACCGGCUGGCGCUUGAGGACAAGCUUUGUCCCUCUUCAGUCGCAGCGAGCAGGGCACCGGACGGGCGACGUGCCGUCUGGGCAUUAUUAUGGAGGUGCCCUGCUCCUCCUAAGGUGCGUGUGUUUGCAUCGCGUUUGGCUACUAACUCCCUUGCCACAUGGUCUAAUAAAUUCAGUCGACACAUGGAGGUUACUGAUAUAUGCCCAUUAUGUGGUCUCGAGCGCGAGGACACUUUUCAUGUGUUUUGCAGGUGCCCUCGGGCGGUGCAUUUGUGGCGGACUAUGGCGGAGGUGUGGAGUAUACCGGACAUCGAGUCAGUCCGUAACACCGGCCCAAAGUGGCUCCUGAACCUAAUUGCAGAAAGCAAUGAAGGGGACCGGCUGCGCCUGAUUAUGCUGUUGUGGAGAUGUUGGCAUGUGUGCAACGAGAUCACUCAUGACAAACUGGCGCCGCCUGUGGAGGUAUCCCGUCGCUUUUUGCAGAGCUACGUAACCUCACUGCUCGGGAUCCAGCAGUAUCCACAGGGAGAUUGGGACAAAGGGAAGAUGACCAUCCAACAAGAAGGUGCAGAACAACCUAUAUCACAUGUGGGAGGUGUGCCACGAAUAGUCCACAAAUGGAGUCCCCCACCCGCCAACUGGACGAAGCUGAAUGUCGAUGGCUCCUUUUCCCAUGAUGAUGGGAGGGCCGGGACGGGAAUGGUGCUUCAUGACCAGGAAGGGGCCAUUAUUUUCUCCGUGUGUCGCUCGCUAUGGUCUUGCCCGGACCCUAUACAUGCUGAGCUGGCUGGGUGCAUGGAGGGCAUAGCUUUGGCCCUCCAAUGGACGGAGUUGCCGUUUAUCGCCGAGUGCGAUAGUCUGCAGGCAGUGCAACUGAUAAAUGCCUCAGGAGAAGACCGCUCGCAGUAUGCCAUGGUGGUCUCGGAAGUGAAGCUUCUUAUGAGUGAAAGGGAGUGUCAUGUUAUUCAUAUUUCUCGAGAGCAGAAUAAUGUAAGCCAUGCGUUGGCGAACUUUGGAAGGACGGAGGACCGUACUGUGGUCUGGCUCCGCUCCGGCCCGGACAAUAUCCCUAGCUUGUGUAGGGAGGACCUUCUUGGCUCUUGA
This 1596-nucleotide ribosomal RNA is filed under the name Triticum aestivum (bread wheat). RNAcentral describes it as "partial small subunit ribosomal RNA". Lineage: Eukaryota; Viridiplantae; Streptophyta; Magnoliopsida; Poales; Poaceae. The record is from RNAcentral.